AUGGAACACAAACCCAACCCAGCAGUGCUUACCGCUACCACUACCGAGGCCGCAAGCAGCAGCGACGUCGGGAGCAGCGUGAGCAGUGGCGGCCGGAAGGGGAAGGCGGCGGGCAAGGGCGGGCCGGAGAACGCCAAGUUCAGGUACCGUGGCGUGCGGCAGCGGAGCUGGGGCAAGUGGGUGGCGGAGAUCCGGGAGCCCCGCAAGCGCUCGCGCAAGUGGCUCGGCACCUUCGCCACUGCCGAGGAUGCCGCGCGCGCCUACGACCGCGCGGCGCUGCUCCUCUACGGCCCACGUGCCCACCUCAACCUCACCGCGCCGCCGCCCCUGGCCCCCGGGGCGGACCCCCACCCCCGGCCCUUGGGGUCCUCGGCUUCUUCCUCGAGCUCCUCCGCGCCCCCGCCGCUCCGGCCGCUCUUGCCGCGCCCGCCGCAGAACUCAGGUGGCGCCGGGGCGGUCUUCCAACACCACCACCACCAAUACCGCUUCCUGCCGCUCCGUGUGACGCCACCGUCGACGUCGCCGCCUCUGUACUACGCGAGCACAGCCACCGCGUCCACGGUGACCACCACGGUGGCGCCGCCUCACGAGACGACUGCCCCGUUGCCAGUGGCUUCGUCAUCUACGAUGGCCGCCCAGGAUGGUGCUCCGGCGGGGGCGGCAGAGGCUGAGGUGACCCCCGAAUGGUACCUUGCCGCCGAGGAGGAGGACUACGAGGCCGCGCUGCUGUGGAAUGAACCUGAUCCCUUGUUCGACAUCUUCUCCAAGUGA
Molecule: ribosomal RNA, 771 nt
Filed under: Triticum aestivum (bread wheat)
Lineage: Eukaryota; Viridiplantae; Streptophyta; Magnoliopsida; Poales; Poaceae
Description: partial small subunit ribosomal RNA
Source: RNAcentral